GGGCGUUAAGUUGCAGGGUAUAGACCCGAAACCCGGUGAUCUAGCCAUGGGCAGGUUGAAGGUUGGGUAACACUAACUGGAGGACCGAACCGACUAAUGUUGAAAAAUUAGCGGAUGACCUGUGGCUGGGGGUGAAAGGCCAAUCAAACCGGGAGAUAGCUGGUUCUCCCCGAAAGCUAUUUAGGUAGCGCCUCGUGAAUUCAUCUCCGGGGGUAGAGCACUGUUUCGGCUAGGGGGCCAUCCCGGCUUACCAACCCGAUGCAAACUGCGAAUACCGGAGAAUGUUAUCA
This 290-nucleotide ribosomal RNA is filed under the name Salmonella enterica subsp. enterica serovar Cerro. RNAcentral's name for it is "partial 23S ribosomal RNA". It matches the Rfam family "Bacterial large subunit ribosomal RNA", at positions 690 to 977 of the family's 2925-position model. Lineage: Bacteria; Pseudomonadati; Pseudomonadota; Gammaproteobacteria; Enterobacterales; Enterobacteriaceae. The record is from RNAcentral.